UGAGUACGAGAUGCUACGGCAUCGAAGCAGUCUAUGUCAUACUUCCAAGAAAAGCUUGCAAUGUCAUAAACAAAUAAUGCCUGUACCAUAACCGACACAGGUGGGUAGGUAGAGUAUACUAAGGGGCGCGAGAUAACUCUCUCUAAGGAACUCGGCAAAAUGACUCCGUAACUUCGGGAGAAGGAGUGCCUUAUUUUUAUAAGGUUGCAAUAACAAGAUCCAAGCAACUGUUUACCAAAAACACAGGUCUCCGCUAAGUCGUAAGACGAUGUAUGGGGGCUGACGCCUGCCCAGUGCCAGAAGGUUAAAGAAGUUGGUUAGCAUUAGCGAAGCUGAUAACUGAAGCCCUGGUGAACGGCGGCCGUAACAAUAACGGUCCUAAGGUAGCGAAAUUCCUUGUCGGGUAAGUUCCGACCCGCACGAAAGGCGUAAUGAUUUGGAUACUGUCUCGGAGAGGGGCUCGGUGAAAUAGACUUGUCUGUGAAGAUGCGGACUACCUGCACCUGGACAGAAAGACCCUAUGAAGCUUUACUGUAACUUGAGAUUGAAAUUGGACUUUAUCUGCGCAGUAUAGGUGGGAGACGUUGAAAAUAUUCUUGCGGGAAUAUUGGAGUCAUCAGUGAGAUACCACUCUUAUAAUGUUAGAUUUCUAACUUUGUAUCAUUAUCUGGUCAAAGAACAGUUUCAGGCGGGCAGUUUGACUGGGGCGGUCGCCUCCCAAACGGUAACGGAGGCGCACAAAGGUUUCCUCUGAACGUGUAGAAAUCGUAUCUAGAGUGUAAAGGCAUAAGGAAGCUUGACUGUGAGACCUACAAGUCGAGCAGGGACGAAAGUCGGUCUUAGUGAUCUGACGGUGCUGAGUGGAAAGGCCGUCACUCAACGGAUAAAAGUUACUCUAGGAUAACAGGCUGAUCUCCCCCAAGAGUUCACAUCGACGGGGAGGUUUGGCACCUCGAUGUCGGCUCAUCGCAUCCUGGGGCGGUAGUACGUCCCAAGGGUUGGGCUGUUCGCCCAUGAAAGCGGUACGCGAGCUGGGUUCAGAACGUCGUGAGACAGUUCGGUCCAUAUCCGGUGUAGGCGUUAGAAUAUUGAGAGGAGCCUUCUUUAGUACGAGAGGACCGAGAAGGACAUACCUCUGGUGUACCAGUUAUCGUGCCAACGGUAAACGCUGGGUAGCCAUGUAUGGAGAGGAUAACCGCUGAAAGCAUCUAAGUGGGAAGCCCACCUCAAGAUAAGUAUUCUG
This 1243-nucleotide ribosomal RNA is filed under the name metagenome. RNAcentral's name for it is "bacterial LSU rRNA". It matches the Rfam family "Bacterial large subunit ribosomal RNA", at positions 1564 to 2815 of the family's 2925-position model. The record is from RNAcentral.